This 22-nucleotide microRNA is filed under the name Gallus gallus (chicken). RNAcentral describes it as "gga-miR-12253-3p". The record is from miRBase by way of RNAcentral. Lineage: Eukaryota; Metazoa; Chordata; Aves; Galliformes; Phasianidae.
CCUCUGCCCCUCUCCUCCCGCA